UACCAGCACCCCGAGUGGUCGGGACGAUUAUUGGGCCUAAAGCAUCCGUAGCCGGUUUUGCAAGUCCUCCGUUAAAUCCAGCUGCUUAACAGAUGGGCUGCGGAGGAUACUAUAAGACUAGGAGGCAGGAGAGGCAAGCGGUACUCAGUGGGUAGGGGUAAAAUCCGUUGAUCCAUUGAAGACCACCAGUGGCGAAGGCGGCUUGCCAGAAUGCGCUCGACGGUGAGGGAUGAAAGCUGGGGGAGCAAACCGG
This 253-nucleotide ribosomal RNA is filed under the name uncultured bacterium. RNAcentral describes it as "partial 16S ribosomal RNA". It matches the Rfam family "Archaeal small subunit ribosomal RNA", at positions 474 to 727 of the family's 1478-position model. The record is from RNAcentral.